Molecule: ribosomal RNA, 494 nt
Filed under: uncultured bacterium
Lineage: Bacteria
Description: bacterial SSU rRNA
Rfam family: Bacterial small subunit ribosomal RNA
Source: RNAcentral
AUUGAACGCUGGCGGCAUGCCUAACACAUGCAAGUCGAACGGCAGCACGGCAGUAGCAAUACUGUGGGUGGCGAGUGGCGGACGGGUGAGGAAUACGUCGGAAUCUGCCCAGUCGUGGGGGAUAACUAGCCGAAAGGUUAGCUAAUACCGCAUACGACCGAGAGGUGAAAGCGGGGGACCGCAAGGCCUCGCGCGAUUGGAUGAGCCGACGUCGGAUUAGCUAGUUGGUGGGGUAAAGGCCCACCAAGGCGACGAUCCGUAGCUGGUCUGAGAGGAUGAUCAGCCACACUGGAACUGAGACACGGUCCAGACUCCUACGGGAGGCAGCAGUGGGGGAUCUUGCACAAUGGGCGAAAGCCUGAUGCAGCGACGCCGCGUGAGCGAAGAAGGCCUUCGGGUUGUAAACCUCUGUUCUUGGGGAAGAGGAGGAGACGGUACCCAAGGAGGAAGCCCGGCUAACUACGUGCCAGCAGCCGCGGUAAGCAUACUCGUAC